RNAcentral lists this ribosomal RNA (480 nucleotides) under uncultured bacterium. RNAcentral's name for it is "partial 16S ribosomal RNA". It matches the Rfam family "Bacterial small subunit ribosomal RNA", at positions 29 to 507 of the family's 1533-position model. The record is from RNAcentral.
AUGAACGCUGGCGGCGUGCUUAACACAUGCAAGUCGAACGAAGCACUUUAUUUGAUUUCCUUCGGGACUGAUUAUUUUGUGACUGAGUGGCGGACGGGUGAGUAACGCGUGGGUAACCUGCCUUGUACAGGGGGAUAACAGUUGGAAACGGCUGCUAAUACCGCAUAAGCGCACGGCAUCGCAUGAUGCAGUGUGAAAAACUCCGGUGGUAUAAGAUGGACCCGCGUUGGAUUAGCUAGUUGGUGAGGUAACGGCCCACCAAGGCGACGAUCCAUAGCCGACCUGAGAGGGUGACCGGCCACAUUGGGACUGAGACACGGCCCAAACUCCUGCGGGAGGCAGCAGUGGGGAAUAUUGCACAAUGGGCGAAAGCCUGAUGCAGCGACGCCGCGUGAGCGAAGAAGUAUUUCGGUAUGUAAAGCUCUAUCAGCAGGGAAGAUAAUGACGGUACCUGACUAAGAAGCACCGGCUAAAUACGUG